Molecule: long non-coding RNA, 690 nt
Filed under: Bos taurus (domestic cattle)
Lineage: Eukaryota; Metazoa; Chordata; Mammalia; Artiodactyla; Bovidae
Description: long non-coding RNA NONBTAT022222
Source: RNAcentral
AUGGUGGUGGUUGUAUCCGUGCAGAGCCUGACCGCCCAGGCAUCCAAAGUGCUGUGCUGUCCUGCCAGCCUGCAGCCCCAGCUGGCCAGGUUCUGCUGGUCAUGGUGCUGGGCCAGCAAGGUGCAAGCCCUGAGGAGGUGUUCGCCGUGUGCACUAGGUGGGGAGCUGGGAGGACGCCCCAGGCGUGCAAGCAACAGCGCCUCACACACCUGAGCCAGGAGGAGAAGGUGCUGCAGAGGAAACUAAAAGACAGAGUAGCAGCUCAGACAGCCAGAAACCGAAAGAAAGCUAAGAUGAGUGAGCUGAAACAACAAAUGGUAGAUAAGGGAGAAGAAAACAAAAUUAGCUUUUACAAGAUAAAACUCCUGGCCUCAUUUGUAGUUGAGAACCAGAAGUUAAGACAGCUCCUGGGAAUGGAUGACUGAAGAGGAAGCAGAGACCAGGGGGAAUGGAGCCAGGCCAGUGGCCUCCUCUGCUGAGUCCACAGCAGGUGCAGAACCAGUCGUUACCCCUCUAGAACAUUCCCGGUGGAUUCUCACGGUGUUGACUGUUCAGACUCUGAGUCUGAUAUCCUGUUUGACACUUUCUUCAACCUGGACCCAGUCAUGUUCCUCAGAUGUCCUUCCCCAGAGUCUGCCAGACUGGAGUAGCUCCCAUAUGCGGACUCAGAAGGACCCAAUUCCUUACUGA